GCGGUGGGUGGGAGGGGGGUUCCCACGCGAGCCCUGGUGCUAUGGAGAGCCGGCCGUCCUCCAGGGGUGAGCUGGGGAGGCUUCUGCGGUUCUGGAGUCCCGGCGAUGGCGCCAGUUCCCCAGCAAACCCCCUCCAGAGCUGCCCCCGGAUGCACAGACAAGGAGGGGGCUUGGGAGUUACUUGAGGCUGUGACGGGGUCGCCCUCGGUGUGGGCACGUGAGUCCUCUGUGGCCAAGAGGUCAGAGUCGUCCCUGAGGCUGAGUCAAACACAGACCCGUGGCCUUCAUAAAAUUAAACAUAAAAGCGCAAAAAUGGUGCAACCAGACAGCGUUGGCUUCAGACAGGCGGGACAUGGGGCCCCUCGUGUGACCUGUGACCUUCCACAAAGGGCAGGGACCUGGCACUGACUCCGGCCAGUGGAGAAGGCUGCGCCGCCCACCCGGCCAUGACUCAGACCCAGAGGCUGAAAGCCACAGACGGGGCCGCAGUGCAGCAGCUCCCGGGCUCUCGUGAAACACUUCAGAAGGAAAAAACCUAAGGAACAGAAUCCUGAAUGGAGAAAACCCAACUUUUUUAAAAAAGAAGAAAGUGUAUGAUGGGAAUCUACGGGGUGGGUUUUCUUUAAGAGGUGAGAACUUGGAAUCUUGCAAGCACUGGGAGUGGACUCCGGUGGCGGCGCAGACGCGGAGCAGGGAGCGUCCUUGGGCCACCUGUGGACAGGGAGGGGCGCUCAGACUGGACCCACCUCCCAGCGACCCACAGGCGGGACCCAGGAGCCCACACCUGGCUAGGAGAUCCCGCCCACCACACCUGGCUCAGGAGAUCCCGCCCACCACACCUGGCUCAGGAGUUCCCGCCCACCACACCUGGCUCAGGAGUUCCCGCCCACCACACCUGGCUCAGGAGUUCCCGCCCACCACACCUGGCUCAGGAGAUCCCGCCCACCACACCUGGCUCAGGAGAUCCCGCCCACCGCACCUGGCUCAGGAGUUCCCGCCCACCGCACCUGCCUCAGGAGAUCCCGCCCACCGCACCUGCCUCAGGAGAUCCCGCCCACCGCACCUGGCUCAGGAGUUCCCGCCCACCGCACCUGGCUCAGGAGGAGUUCCUCUGGCGGACGUUCUUGCCUUUGUCGUUCUGGUGCUGCCCGCUGCUCUUCCUGGGGCACGAGGGGCCGGGUGAGAGGGUGUCCCCCACAAAUCACCCUCUC
Molecule: long non-coding RNA, 1211 nt
Filed under: Pan troglodytes (chimpanzee)
Lineage: Eukaryota; Metazoa; Chordata; Mammalia; Primates; Hominidae
Description: long non-coding RNA NONPTRT008287
Source: RNAcentral